UGUAAAGAGGGAAUAUACACCCUCUAUAUAUAGUGAGAUAU
This 41-nucleotide non-coding RNA is filed under the name Trypanosoma brucei brucei. The record is from RNAcentral. Lineage: Eukaryota; Euglenozoa; Kinetoplastea; Trypanosomatida; Trypanosomatidae.